This 253-nucleotide ribosomal RNA is filed under the name uncultured bacterium. RNAcentral describes it as "partial 16S ribosomal RNA". It matches the Rfam family "Bacterial small subunit ribosomal RNA", at positions 524 to 776 of the family's 1533-position model. The record is from RNAcentral.
GACGUAGGGCGCAAGCGUUGUCCGGAUUUAUUGGGCGUAAAGAGCUCGUAGGCGGUUUGUCACGUCGGGAGUGAAAACUCAGGGCUCAACCCUGAGCGUGCUUCCGAUACGGGCAGACUAGAGGUAUGCAGGGGAGAACGGAAUUCCUGGUGUAGCGGUGGAAUGCGCAGAUAUCAGGAGGAACACCGGUGGCGAAGGCGGUUCUCUGGGCAUUACCUGACGCUGAGGAGCGAAAGCAUGGGGAGCGAACAGG